Long non-coding RNA from Loxodonta africana (African savanna elephant), 932 nucleotides. RefSeq lists it as uncharacterized. The record is from RefSeq and is a predicted model, not a curated record. Lineage: Eukaryota; Metazoa; Chordata; Mammalia; Proboscidea; Elephantidae. The transcript has 3 exons.
ACUCCGGGCCCCUCGAAAUCCAUAGCUUCAAACAACACCACGGCCGGGUCGGCGAAAUCCUGGGGCCCAGGGAGAGUCAAGCCUGGGUCGGAAACAGCCCCUCCCGCCUGAGGACAGAAACCCCUGAAAGUGCCCAGAACCCAGGGAUGCAGCCCACCGGGGGAAUUCGGGAUAAGGCAUCAUUGCAGCCUGAGGAAAAGCAGCAGGAGGGAGAGAGGCUAGAUCUCAGGGAACAUUUCCAGGUCCUCUGGAGAACUGAGAGUGAGGUGGAAGCUCACCCCUUGUAAAUUGUACUAGAGGGAAGCCUGGUUGUGGCAAGAGGGAUGGCCCAACUGCCCUCGCUUACCGUGCGGAUGACCCGCAGGGAGGUCAGCACCUCGUCGUACCCUCCCCAGUGUGACCAGUCGGCGUAUUCCCCCUCCUCCAGCAGGUACUGGUGGCCCCGGAAGCCCUCCUUUUCGUAGCCCACCCAGCUGGGGAGGGAGAAGAUGGUCAGUCGCAGGAAGCCCAUGAACGGUUCUCCAGAACCAGCCAGCACUUCCCCAGGCUGUUUUCCCAAGCUGGGGCUUGGCCUCUGCCUGGCCCCUGCCUCUUCAAGUCAGCCUCUGCACACUCCCCACUUGGAUCCAAGACUAGGAUCCUGGAGGUCAGGGCCCACAGCAGACAAGGCAACAUCUGGCCUCCCAUCCCCAUCCUCAGCCCACUCACCUGGACAACCCUCCUCAGGGAGCCAAUGCCUUUGGGGCUCCAUGCUGUCCCUGGGGCUUGGAGUUCCACAUCUCCUUCAGGCAAGACCAGCUUCCGGCCCUGGAACUCCGGCUCUUCAUAUAGCACCCAGCUGUGGGCACAGAGACCCCACAGUCACUGGGUGGGAGGGGGGUGUACCCUCAAGGCAGCUGAUGGGGUUUCUGCUAGGUUGGCCUGGACACUUC